CCUUGACAGCGUAAGCUGACAUUUGCCACGACAAGGAGAUUAAUAUG
Molecule: non-coding RNA, 47 nt
Filed under: unclassified sequences
Description: Mu-gpT-DE RNA
Rfam family: Mu-gpT-DE RNA
Source: RNAcentral